Molecule: ribosomal RNA, 479 nt
Filed under: uncultured bacterium
Lineage: Bacteria
Description: bacterial SSU rRNA
Rfam family: Bacterial small subunit ribosomal RNA
Source: RNAcentral
GCGAUAGAGUUUGAUCAUGGCUCAGGACGAACGCUGGCGGCAGGCCUCAAACAUGCAAGUCUAGGGGGUGUAGCAAUACAUCACCGGCGGACGGGUGCGUAACACGUGGGAAUGUACCUUUUGGUUCGGAACAACGCAGGGAAACUUGCGCUAAUACCGGAUGUGCCCGUAAGGGGAAAGAUUUAUCGCCAAAGGAUCAGCCCGCGUAGGAUUAGCUAGUUGGUGAGGUAAUGGCUCACCAAGGCUCCGAUCCUUAGCUGUUCUGAGAGGAAGAUCAGCCACACUGGGACUGAGACACGGCCCAGACUCCUACGGGAGGCAGCAGUUGGGAAUCUUGGACAAUGGGGGAAACCCUGAUCCAGCCAUGCCGUGUGAGUGAUGAAGGCCUUCGGGUUGUAAAACUCUUUCGACGGGGACGAUAAUGACGGUACCCGUAGAAGAAGCUCCGGCUAACUUCGUGCCAGCAGCCGCGGUAAUAA